GGUGAACGCUGGCGGUAGGCCUAACACAUGCAAGUCGAACGGCAGCACAGGAGAGCUUGCUCUCUGGGUGGCGAGUGGCGGACGGGUGAGGAAUACAUCGGAAUCUACUCUGUCGUGGGGGAUAACGUAGGGAAACUUACGCUAAUACCGCAUACGACCUACGGGUGAAAGCAGGGGAUCUUCGGACCUUGCGCGAUUGAAUGAGCCGAUGUCGGAUUAGCUAGUUGGCGGGGUAAAGGCCCACCAAGGCGACGAUCCGUAGCUGGUCUGAGAGGAUGAUCAGCCACACUGGAACUGAGACACGGUCCAGACUCCUACGGGAGGCAGCAGUGGGGAAUAUUGGACAAUGGGCGCAAGCCUGAUCCAGCCAUACCGCGUGGGUGAAGAAGGCCUUCGGGUUGUAAAGCCCUUUUGUUGGGAAAGAAAUCCAGCUGGUUAAUACCCGGUUGGGAUGACGGUACCCAAAGAAUAAGCACCGGCUAACUUCGUGCCAGCAGCCGCGGUAAUACGAAGGGUGCAAGCGUUACUCGGAAUUACUGGGCGUAAAGCGUGCGUAGGUGGUUAUUUAAGUCCGUUGUGAAAGCCCUGGGCUCAACCUGGGAACUGCAGUGGAUACUGGAUGACUAGAAUGUGGUAGAGGGUAGCGGAAUUCCUGGUGUAGCAGUGAAAUGCGUAGAGAUCAGGAGGAACAUCCAUGGCGAAGGCAGCUACCUGGACCAACAUUGACACUGAGGCACGAAAGCGUGGGGAGCAAACAGG
RNAcentral lists this ribosomal RNA (759 nucleotides) under uncultured Stenotrophomonas sp. RNAcentral describes it as "bacterial SSU rRNA". It matches the Rfam family "Bacterial small subunit ribosomal RNA", at positions 28 to 776 of the family's 1533-position model. Lineage: Bacteria; Pseudomonadati; Pseudomonadota; Gammaproteobacteria; Lysobacterales; Lysobacteraceae. The record is from RNAcentral.